Callorhinus ursinus (northern fur seal) is the source of this 1058-nucleotide non-coding RNA. The record is from RefSeq and is a predicted model, not a curated record. NCBI's taxonomy places the organism in Eukaryota, Metazoa, Chordata, Mammalia, Carnivora, Otariidae.
CAGGACCCUGGGAUCAUAACCUGAGCUGAAGGCAGACGCUUAACGACUGAGCCACCCAGGCGCCCUCUUCAUGUAUUCUGAUUGUACUUUAUGAAUAAUGAAGACUUGCAUUUUAAGAACCAACAGCAGCAAAAACAGCUUGGCUCUUGAGGAAGAGUCCUGAGACAAGGCAAAGAGUGUAAGAAAUACUGACAAAUAACUGCGUCUGAUCUCAUCUUAGGCAACAAACUUACAGACAGCUCUACACCUGAUCUAUUCAUCUGUGAAUCAGGCUGUGUAAGAAUAGGCUACCGUUAAAGGUAGCAACUCCUAAAUCUCAGCACCUUAAACCAACAGAGGUUUGUCAUUCAUUCAUGUUACACCAGAGUCAAAUAAGAAGGCUGCUAAAGGUGGCACUUUCGGGAACAUUGCCGGCAGCUGUGCCAGAGCUGAAAGAGAGCAUGGAGUAUCCCAUACCAGGAAUUAAAUUCUCCAGCCCAGACGUGACACACAACACUCCCACCUCACUGGUCAGAACUAGUUAUCUAGCUCCAUUCAACCACAAAGAGGCUGUAAAACUCUACAGAAAGCAUAAGGCAAGAAGCUGGAAACAUCGUGAAAGCACAAACACUAUCACGGAGUAGUCGGAUAUAUAAAAAGCAUGCUAGAAAUUAUCAAGUGGCUUCCAAGAGCAGUCUCCCUGCAUUUUCAGUAACUGCAUUUUCAGUAUUCUAAGUAAAGGGCAGGAAGGAGUUGAUAACUCGUUCACCCAUGAUUCAGUGUUUCUCAGUUGCAUAUUCUGCCUGAAUAGAGAGGAAACUUCUUUUACCUCUAACAGAUCAACAUUACAUCUCCAAGUAAAAGGAAUGUACAGAAAGUAAGUUGGUGUUAUACAUUUUCUUGAACAAUUUAGAAGAACUUUUCGUUAAUUUUUACCAAAAAAAAAAAAAAGUUCCGGAUACUGUAAAUCCGUGUACACAUUUUUACUUGGUUGCAGAUAUACUCAUCAACCAUUUCUUUGUUCCUAACUGGCACAUGUUAGUAGAUUCUACCGUAAAUCAGCUCUUAACGGUCACGAA